This 645-nucleotide long non-coding RNA is filed under the name Ricinus communis (castor bean). RNAcentral's name for it is "long non-coding RNA (RCOM_LNC000282)". Lineage: Eukaryota; Viridiplantae; Streptophyta; Magnoliopsida; Malpighiales; Euphorbiaceae. The record is from RNAcentral.
AUCUAUUACAGCCAAUGAUUAGGUAUGCCUAAUCAUUAGUAUAUAAAACAACAUUAAAUCUAAAGACUAAAAUGAUUUCUAAAGAAAUUUGAGCAAUGAUUGUAUAUGUACAGUUUAAGAAUCAGUACUCUUGAUUAGUAAACUACUGAGAGUGGCUCUCAGAAGAGUCCAGAAUGCCCCCACAACUGCGUCAGGAAGGGGGAAGAAAUGUUAUGGCGAGCUUGCAUUAAUAUCUAAAUUUAGAUUGAAACAAAGACAAAGAAAGAGCUUAAUUAAGAUUAACUACUGCUUACCAUUCUAUACAAUAUCUAUAUGUUUUUGGAGGAGGAUGAGAAGGUGAUGGCUGUUGGGGCACCUGUCCAUUAUUGACAGGGGAACUUACUGGAGGGGGAGCAACACAAGGACAUUGUUGAUGAUAUUCUUGCAUUAGCGGUGGAGAUGGUGGAUUAUAUAAACCAGGUUGUGGCGGCGGCGGCAAUGGAUAUAAUACUGCAAAACCAAUAGCAGCCCACACAUCAAUCGAAGUUCAUAGUGAAAGAAAGACACAUAUAUACAUAAAAUACAGUGUACUUGAAUAACUUGGACUUCAGAGAAUUAUUUGCUAUAGCUGCGUUAUUAAUUUAAAUAUUAUGCAUGACCACAUAC